This 532-nucleotide ribosomal RNA is filed under the name marine sediment bacterium BB0608_2216_4.2_2G0. Its description in RNAcentral is "bacterial SSU rRNA". It matches the Rfam family "Bacterial small subunit ribosomal RNA", at positions 60 to 586 of the family's 1533-position model. The record is from RNAcentral.
AGUUAUCUGAACCUUCGGGGAACGAUAACGGCGUCGAGCGGCGGACGGGUGAGUAAUGCCUAGGAAAUUGCCCUGAUGUGGGGGAUAACCAUUGGAAACGAUGGCUAAUACCGCAUGAUGCCUACGGGCCAAAGAGGGGGACCUUCGGGCCUCUCGCGUCAGGAUAUGCCUAGGUGGGAUUAGCUAGUUGGUGAGGUAAGGGCUCACCAAGGCGACGAUCCCUAGCUGGUCUGAGAGGAUGAUCAGCCACACUGGAACUGAGACACGGUCCAGACUCCUACGGGAGGCAGCAGUGGGGAAUAUUGCACAAUGGGCGCAAGCCUGAUGCAGCCAUGCCGCGUGUAUGAAGAAGGCCUUCGGGUUGUAAAGUACUUUCAGUCGUGAGGAAGGCGGCGUCGUUAAUAGCGGCGUUGUUUGACGUUAGCGACAGAAGAAGCACCGGCUAACUCCGUGCCAGCAGCCGCGGUAAUACGGAGGGUGCGAGCGUUAAUCGGAAUUACUGGGCGUAAAGCGCAUGCAGGUGGUUUGUUAA